This 434-nucleotide ribosomal RNA is filed under the name uncultured bacterium. Its description in RNAcentral is "partial 16S ribosomal RNA". It matches the Rfam family "Bacterial small subunit ribosomal RNA", at positions 29 to 507 of the family's 1533-position model. The record is from RNAcentral.
AGCGAACGCUGGCGGCAGGCCUAACACAUGCAAGUCGAACGAACCUUUCGGGGUUAGUGGCGGACGGGUGCGUAACACGUGGGAACGUGCCUUUAGGUUCGGAAUAACUCAGGGAAACUUGUGCUAAUACCGAAUGUGCCCUUCGGGGGAAAGAUUUAUCGCCUUUAGAGCGGCCCGCGUCUGAUUAGCUAGUUGGUUGAGGUAAUGGCUCACCAAGGCGACGAUCAGUAGCUGGUCUGAGAGGAUGAUCAGCCACAGUGGGACUGAGACACGGCCCAAACUCCUACGGGAGGCAGCAGUGGGGAAUCUUGCGCAAUGGGCGAAAGCCUGACGCAGCCAUGCCGCGUGAAUGAUGAAGGUCUUAGGAUUGUAAAAUUCUUUCACCGGGGACGAUAAUGACGGUACCCGGAGAAGAAGCCCCGGCUAACUUCGUG